UGAUACCGAACGUGGGAAUCUUUCUCAUCUGCAUUGGUGCCUAUGUAUUUCUCCAAGUGGGCCAUGUGAAUGCAGAUAUGACACGGACUUCAAAUACUGGUGCUAAAUCAGGUAAAGCAGGAACUCCAGGCACAAAAAAUGAGCAGCCUAUAAAGAAUAAUCCUAGCCCUGCCACGGAGUCUCCGUCGGCUGGAGGAUCAGCAAAAGUGGAUGCCUGUGUUUUCCCGUUUACCUAUGAAGGCAAGACUUAUUAUGAUUGCACUCAGAAGCACGCUAUAUACAAUUGGUGUUCUCUAGAAGAAUCAUAUUCAGGGAAAUGGAAAUAUUGCACAA
Long non-coding RNA from Myotis daubentonii (Daubenton's bat), 333 nucleotides. RefSeq lists it as uncharacterized. The record is from RefSeq and is a predicted model, not a curated record. NCBI's taxonomy places the organism in Eukaryota, Metazoa, Chordata, Mammalia, Chiroptera, Vespertilionidae.